GUUUUUAUAGUUUAAAAAAACAUUAGAUUGUGAAUCUAAAAACAGAAGUCAAA
This 53-nucleotide transfer RNA is filed under the name Xantusia vigilis. Its description in RNAcentral is "tRNA-His". It matches the Rfam family "tRNA", at positions 1 to 57 of the family's 71-position model. Rfam says of the family: Transfer RNA (tRNA) molecules are approximately 80 nucleotides in length. Their secondary structure includes four short double-helical elements and three loops (D, anti-codon, and T loops). The record is from RNAcentral. Lineage: Eukaryota; Metazoa; Chordata; Lepidosauria; Squamata; Xantusiidae.